GAGUGAAAGAAAAAAUCGGUCGCUGAU
Molecule: non-coding RNA, 27 nt
Filed under: Bombyx mori (domestic silkworm)
Lineage: Eukaryota; Metazoa; Arthropoda; Insecta; Lepidoptera; Bombycidae
Source: RNAcentral